AUUGAACGCUGGCGGCAUGCCUUACACAUGCAAGUCGAACGGUAACAGGGAGCUUGCUCCGCUGACGAGUGGCGAACGGGUGAGUAAUAUAUCGGAACGUACCUUUGAGUGGGGGAUAACUAGUCGAAAGAUUAGCUAAUACCGCAUACGAUCUACGGAUGAAAGCGGGGGAUCGCAAGACCUCGUGCUCAUAGAGCGGCCGAUAUCUGAUUAGCUAGUUGGUGAGGUAAAGGCUCACCAAGGCUUCGAUCAGUAGCUGGUCUGAGAGGACGACCAGCCACACUGGGACUGAGACACGGCCCAGACUCCUACGGGAGGCAGCAGUGGGGAAUUUUGGACAAUGGGGGCAACCCUGAUCCAGCAAUGCCGCGUGAGUGAAGAAGGCCUUCGGGUUGUAAAGCUCUUUUGUCAGGGGAGAAACGGGGGUUCCUAAUACGAGUCCCUAAUGACGGUACCUGAAGGAUAAGCACCGGCUAACUACGUGC
RNAcentral lists this ribosomal RNA (485 nucleotides) under uncultured beta proteobacterium. Its description in RNAcentral is "bacterial SSU rRNA". It matches the Rfam family "Bacterial small subunit ribosomal RNA", at positions 30 to 508 of the family's 1533-position model. The record is from RNAcentral. Lineage: Bacteria; Pseudomonadati; Pseudomonadota; Betaproteobacteria.